Lutra lutra (Eurasian river otter) is the source of this 540-nucleotide long non-coding RNA. RefSeq lists it as uncharacterized. The transcript has 3 exons. Lineage: Eukaryota; Metazoa; Chordata; Mammalia; Carnivora; Mustelidae. The record is from RefSeq and is a predicted model, not a curated record.
GGCAAAAACUACUUAGGCUUUAAACUGGUCUGAUGAAAAAAUAAGUUCACUAGAAAUUCUAGACCAUGUCAAAAAUCUGUACCCACAUUCUCUUCACAUCACAGCUCCAGGGGGGCACCCACACAGGCGAGGCUGUGCCCAACUCCAACCACAGCAUCACCUCCUGUCUGGCAAAAGUCACCCAGGGAAAGAAACAUCGGGGAAAGCAAAGGAAUGAGAACUGGCAAGCCCACUUGGAGGCCCUUUUGGAGAGUAAGUCCAAGGAAUAGUUUCUCCGUGAAUGUUUGUGGAAUCAGUGAAGUUACUCAACCUGUCGCAGCCACAGACAUCUUAGGGCACACACGUCUUCUCUGUAUACAAACUGUACUUUCUGCCUCCUCCGUUUUGAUUAUCACUAAUAUCUUUACAAAAAUGGUCUUCUAGUAAACAUGGUUUUGCAAAUGGCUUUCCCCCCUCUUAGCCAAUUUUAGUCAUUUUUCCCUAUUAGUAUCCAUUAAUCUACCUCCUAGUCUGUAUCAGCUGAUAAAAACAGAGGGCAUG